AACCGAUACACAUUUGUGUAUGAUUGUCGAUAUGGUACAAUUCAGUACAAUACUGUAUCGGUUACCUGACCCAUACGAUACCUGGUACCAAAACUAUGGACCUUGCUUGGAUGUAUCCAAGUGCCAUGAACACUCGACUUGGGCUUGAGUUUUUAAAGUGUGCAUUUUCUAUUAGAAUAUUGUAUAUUAUGUCGCUUUUCAUUUGUAGAUGCUGCUAGUUUCUUAAACCAUUUUGCUUCAAUGAGUUAACAGUACCGAUACCGGCACUUCAAUAUCACACACCCUUUCAAAUACCACUCAAACAUUAAAAAAAUUAAGUCCAAUUAAAAUCCAUAAUAAUGAACAACAAAAAACAUGAAAAAUAAGGAAAAACCUAAGGGUUCAAAAUUGUGUCCCAAUAUGUUACCGCUAUGCAAUGCCAUAUCAUGAGCUGGCAAGGGACAAACUAGUAUUGUACCAGUCUAACAGAUGUCAGUACCUGUUGUCACGCCCCGGACCCGGAUCCGUGACACGGCCGUGCUAUUGCCGACUAUCGCCCACAGUAGCACGCAGCCUCAUACAGGGGUAACAGGUAGCCAAAAGGAUUCAAAC
This 591-nucleotide long non-coding RNA is filed under the name Phoenix dactylifera (date palm). RNAcentral's name for it is "long non-coding RNA (PDAC_LNC021083)". The record is from RNAcentral. Lineage: Eukaryota; Viridiplantae; Streptophyta; Magnoliopsida; Arecales; Arecaceae.